UCGGUCUCUCCCUGGUCAGGAGAAGAAAAGUGAAAAAUAAGCAAGGAGUGUUGAGUAAGAUUAUUCGAGCUUAGGGUGCGGGAGUUUCCAAGUUCGUUCGCCGCACUUUUCGUUUUUUGACGAUUUGGAAGCUGACAAGCUUGACUUCACUUGGUAAAUGCUAUAAAAUACCAACCAAGAAGCUCCAGGCAUGAACAACUUUAAUAGAAAACUAGAGAUAGAUUUGACUUGGGCAUCAUCAUUAUUAAUAAGGGCAUUUGCUCUAGUGGUAUGACUCUCGCUUUGGGUGGGCAGAAGUUCUGUGAUUUUUGUAUCUGUCGCAUAGUUUGCAAGCAUCAGUUACAACACUGAGAUAGUGCACUAAGAUGGCAUAUGUCACCAAACAUGCGUCGGAAAAGGAAAAAGAAAAACUGGUAUGACACCAAACAUAACUUCAUUGUGCUUCAGACAGACUGUAAUGUAACAUAGAAACUGAUAUAUAUUGCGAAGCUUAAGUUCUUUGGUUUCAAAAGUUUUAUAAGCUGAUAAACUACUGUAUCAAUGUUGGCUGACAUUUUACAGGAAAUCGUGAAGCAACAAAGUUCUCUAUCAUUCAUUAUUAGUUAAUUUCAUACCACUGUACUUACAAAUAAUAUUAGUAUUAAGGAUGAUGUUUUCAAGUUGUGGUUAAAAAAAAGCAAUUUUACCAACUUACUGGUGUCAGGUGGUGAAAGCUGAUGUACAAAUUUUCAAGUACCAAGUGACAAUUUGCCACCGAGAAUGCAGUAAAAUUGCAAGUCAUAGUCACCGUGGCUGCAUAAUCUAUAAAUUUUCCAGUACCAAGUGACAUUUUUAUGUAAUCUUAAUAUAUAACUGUAGAUAACGUGGCUGCAUAAUCUAUAAACAUAGAUUCUACCUAGCCAUCUCCCCUUCAAUGUAUACCUUUGGUCUACUGGUAUUAUUCUCGCUUUGGCUGCAAGAGAUCCCAAGCUCAAUUUUUGGAACGCCACUAUUUUUUUUUUUUUUAUAUUUGUCUGUGUCUGUUUUGUCAUUGAGUAGGCACAAAGGCAUGGACUCUAUUCUCAGUCAGAAAGAAUUGUUGCUAUGGCGUUUCUUCCUAAGAAAGACAGAAGAUGUGAAUUAGCUUGCCAUGUAUGAGACAAAGCAGUUGCUUUGUUUUCUGUAUCUGUUCACAAGUUUUGAAGCAUACUGAGUCACAGCUCCGAGGUGUGGUAUUUGAUCUUAAGGCUAAGUACAACAUUUGAACCCUACAGUUUUGCUAUGCAAUAGAAUGAACUAUGUUAUUUCAAAGUAAAUGAGGAAGGUGGUUGUGGAUGGUCCAUGGUGCCUGUCAAUCAUCAAAACAAAUGGAUGAAAACAUAUUACAAACAUUGCCAGACAAAUCAAAUGUUGAUCAAAUCACUCAGACGUAAAUUUUAAUAUACAUUAGAUCAAAUCACAUGUCAGUAUUCACUGGGCUGAACUUAAGCUAAUGUUUAAUUACUCUUUAGAAGCCAAUCUACAACAAUAUCAAUGUUGAUGGAGUUUCUACAGGAGAUCAUGAAGCACAAAACUUUACUGUCAUCGAUAGAUUUCAGACCCCUGCACACAUAAAACAAACUUCU
Long non-coding RNA from Vigna unguiculata (cowpea), 1604 nucleotides. RefSeq lists it as uncharacterized. The record is from RefSeq and is a predicted model, not a curated record. NCBI's taxonomy places the organism in Eukaryota, Viridiplantae, Streptophyta, Magnoliopsida, Fabales, Fabaceae.